GAGCGGCGGACGGGUGAGUAAGGUAUGGGGAUCUGGCCGACAGGGGAUAACCACUGGAAACGGUGGCUAAUACCGCAUAAUCUCUAAGGAGCAAAGUGGGGACUUUCGGGCCUCACACCUUCGGAUGAACCCAUAUGAGAUUAGCUAGUAGGUGGGGUAAAGGCUCACCUAGGCUACGAUCUCUAGCAUGGGUCUGAGAGGAUGGUCAGCCACACUGGGACUGAGACACGGCCCAGACUCCUAGGGGAGGCAGCAGUGGGGAAUAUUGCACAAUGGGCGCAACGGUAUGCAGCCAUGCCGCGUGUAUGAAGAAGGCCUUCGGGUUGUAAAGUACUUUCAGUCGUGAGGAAGGUGUUAGGGUUAAUAGUCUUAGCAAUUGACAUUAGCGACAGAAGAAGCACCGGCUAACUCCGUGCCAGCAGCCGCGUAAUACGGAGGGUGCGAGCGUUAAUCGGAAUUACUGGGAGUAAAGGGCACGCAGGCGGUUAGUUAAGUUGGAUGUGAAAUCCCCGGGCUUAACCUGGGAAUGGCAUUCAAGACUGGUUAGCUAGAGUCUUGUAGAGGGGGGUAGAAUUCCAUGUGUAGCGGUGAAAUGCGUAGAGAUGUGGAGGAAUACCGGUGGCGAAAGGCGGCCCCCUGGAUAAAAGACUGACGCUCAUUUGCGAAAGCGUGGGGAGCAAACAGGAUUAGAUACCCUGGUAGUCCACGCUGUAAACGAUGUCGAUUUGGAGGUUGUGGUCCUGAACUGUGGCUCCGGACUGAACGCGUUAAAUNGCCGGCCUGGGGAGUACGGCCGCAAGGUUAAAACUCAAAUGAAUUGGACGGGNNNCCACAAGCGGUGGAGCAUGUGGUUUAAUUCGAUGCAACGCGAAGAACCUUACCUACUCUUGACAUCCAGAGAAUCCUUUAGAGACAGAGGAGUGCUUCGGGAACUUUGAGACAGGUGCUGCAUGGCUGUCGUCAGCUCGUGUUGUGAAAUGUUGGGUUAAGUCCCGCAACGAGCGCAACCCUUAUCCUUUGUUGCCAUCGAUUCGGUCGGGAACUCAAAGGAGACUGCCGGUGAUAAACCGGAGGAAGGUGGGGAUGACGUCAAGUCAUCAUGGCCCUUACGAGUAGGGCUACACACGUGCUACAUGGCGUAUACAGAGAGAGGCGAGCCUGCGAGGGGAAGCGGAACUCAGAAAGUACGUCGAAGUUCGGAUUGGAGUCUGCAACUCGACUCCAUGAAGUCGGAAUCGCUAGUAAUCGCGGACCAGCAUGUCGCGGUGAAUACGUUCCCGGGCCUUGUACACACCGCCCGUCACACCAUGGGAGUGGGUUGCAAAAGAAGUAGGUAGCUUAACUUCGGGAUGGCGGCUUACCACUUUGUGAUUCAUGACUGGGGUGAAGUCGUAACAAGGUAACCGU
This 1407-nucleotide ribosomal RNA is filed under the name Candidatus Phloeobacter fragariae. RNAcentral describes it as "Candidatus Phlomobacter fragariae 16S ribosomal RNA". It matches the Rfam family "Bacterial small subunit ribosomal RNA". Lineage: Bacteria; Pseudomonadati; Pseudomonadota; Gammaproteobacteria; Enterobacterales; Enterobacteriaceae. The record is from RNAcentral.